GACGAGUGGUCCUAGCGUUAGUCGGAAUCACUGGGCUUAAAGGGUGCGUAGGCGGGCCAGUCAGUGUCUUGUGAAAGCCCCCGGCUCAACCGGGGAACCGCAGGGCAUACUGCUGGUCUUGAGGAAGCUAGAGGCCGGUGGAACGAUAGGUGGAGCGGUGGAAUGCGUAGAGAUCUAUCGGAACGCCGAUGGUGAAGACAGCCGGCUGGGGCUUUCCUGACGCUGAGGCACGAAAGCGUGGGGAGCAAACAGG
RNAcentral lists this ribosomal RNA (253 nucleotides) under uncultured bacterium. RNAcentral's name for it is "partial 16S ribosomal RNA". It matches the Rfam family "Bacterial small subunit ribosomal RNA", at positions 524 to 776 of the family's 1533-position model. The record is from RNAcentral.